CCUAUGCUUCAUACCCCAAACCUCCACCCAAGGAAGGAAAAAUCUCUUUGAUAGUAGUAUUAGUUUAUGCAGCCAGGGUGCGGAACUUUCCUUUUCUAACUAACUGGAUUAGUGCACCAAUAUACAGAAAUGUCAACUGAUGGCUGUGAAUUUUGCUCCUGAAAUAUACAAACAGAUUCUUCCAGAGCAUAGAGAUUCUUUAAAUGCUUUAGGAAAAGGAGCCAACAUCGUCAAAGAAGCUCAUAAUUUUCCAGCUUAUUGAAGGAGAGAGACUGUGACUGAGACUAUGCAUUAUACGCAAAUGUAUGAAUGUGGUUUGGUUUGUACCCUGCAGGACAUAAAGUCUGCAGUUCAUGCUCAUCCAAUGUUGUCUGAAGUUCUUGACUAACUCUUCAAAUCAGCCAAGGUAAAUGCUAGAGUCCCUAGUUCCGACUAGUGAAUCAAUUGCAGUAUAAAAGCUGGAGUAGAAGUUUUGGAGAGAACUUGGAUCAGGGAAUUUCAACAGACUGCACGUCUCCUCUGAAGGAGAAGAGAAGAGCCCACAGAUCACACGACGAGUGAGAACAAACAAAUUAGUUAGAGAACUUGCCUUUUUCUCGGGCCAGGCAUGAUACAAGAAUUGCAACAAUUUGUUUCUGGAGAUUGUAAUUCAAGUCAUUGCGGACUUAAUUUUGUUCGCAAACGUUUCCAUUUUGAAACUUGUUUUUUGAGAUAUUGUAUCAUAGUUUCUGUUACUA
Long non-coding RNA from Rhododendron vialii, 737 nucleotides. RefSeq lists it as uncharacterized. The record is from RefSeq and is a predicted model, not a curated record. NCBI's taxonomy places the organism in Eukaryota, Viridiplantae, Streptophyta, Magnoliopsida, Ericales, Ericaceae. The transcript has 2 exons.